CUGAAGAAGACACAUGAAUUGAAGAUGUGCCCACUCUUACUAAAAUGUUAUACAACAAUGAAAUUUUCGAAUCUCGACAUGAUUUUCUUGCUAGUUCGGUGGAAGCCAGUUAGCCCUGAUCUCUGAAGGUUAAGCUAGAUCUGCUAAUGGUCCGUGAAUUGACCGUAACUUUAGAUGGCCAGAUAAAACCGCCGGCGAAAUUACCAUUGGUUAAUAUAGGCAUACGCAUACGGACGGGCAAAAGUGAAUUAUCGAUUCUUAGGCUCGGCAUAAUGAAGAACUUGCCCAGGCAUGAAGCGACCCCGUAAGUGCUCUCAACGUCAAACCCCAGCUGAUUAGAUACGUG
Long non-coding RNA from Varroa destructor (honeybee mite), 346 nucleotides. NCBI's taxonomy places the organism in Eukaryota, Metazoa, Arthropoda, Arachnida, Mesostigmata, Varroidae. The record is from RefSeq and is a predicted model, not a curated record.